RNAcentral lists this unclassified non-coding RNA (3671 nucleotides) under Polistes fuscatus (common paper wasp). Its description in RNAcentral is "nAD(+) hydrolase sarm1, transcript variant X5". The record is from RNAcentral. Lineage: Eukaryota; Metazoa; Arthropoda; Insecta; Hymenoptera; Vespidae.
CUCUUAUCGAAUUAAAACCCACGUUCAUUCAUUUUGAUUACGCAUUUUCCAAAAUAUUCCAAAAUAUUCAUAAGCUUUUUUCGAUGUGCACAAUUUCAACCAACGAAUUUAUCAACGCUUUGGAGGAAGUGAUUAGAAGACGGAGGGAAAUCUUCAGACGGUCCAUGAGACCUUUCGAUUUUUAUGAAUGAGCGUCGACAGAGGAUUAAACAUGCUGCACAAGCAUGGAAGCAAGUCGCUGCAAAGUUCCGUCUACAAGAACAGUAGGGGUGCCUUCUUGAAAUCUAUGUCGGAGUUCCCAGUGGAGGGGGGAGAAAACGGGGACAUGCAAGCGGUCAUGGAAAACUUUCAAAAAAAGAACAAUCUGGUCACUGGCCGGACCCAUGUUUCCCAUCAUCCACAAGUUACUACUUCAUCACAGAUGCUAACGACGAAUCAGAGCCAGAGCAGCAGCAGCAGCAGCAGCAGUUCGAGCAGGGUGAAAUCCUCCCAGAGGAUUUCCUCUCUUUCUACCUCUUCCUCGUCGAGUGAAAUGAAGGCGAGCUCUAUGAAGAGCGAUCUCACCGAAUUAAAACGUGGCAUCUCGGAGAUGAAAAAUAUGUCCUCGAAUUUUUCCCAACGAUUACGUAGCAGCAUGGAGAACCUCGUUGACAGAGACGGACCUGUCGCCGAAGAAAAUGAUUUGACCGAGCCACUGGUAACAUUCCCAGAUCCUGACACCCCACCACCUUCGACGGGAACUGUAACUUUGACAGGAGGUUCACCGUCUCAGCUGAGUUCUCUCAAUUCGCUGAACAAUCUUCACACUAUGAGUCCACCGAUAAAUAUGCCGAAUAUUACGAAUAUGACGAGUAUACCUGCUGGCCAGGAAACUAUGAAAUUCGAACAGAAGAAAAUGACGAGUGCGUCCAAAACGAAGGUCGUUACCGAUGGAUUUAGUGCCGAGAAGGCAAUAGCUAACAGUGCUGAAAUGAGAGCACUGCAAGCCGGUGAUGUUUCUUACAAGGAACAAAGUGCAUCGACUGCGGCAAGAGCACGCGUUGAAUUGGACGGUGUUUCUGCUGAAAAAAGGGUCGCUGCUGCUAGAGAACAGCGAAGCUUGAAGGCUGGAGAUUUAUCGCAUCAAGAGAGCAACAACAUGGCAGCGUCGACUAUGAAGUUACAAAGUGACUCAUUCAGUUCGGAAAAGAAGGCGAUGGCGGCACAACAACAACGUCAGACGGUCACUUCUUCUGGGAUUUACAAUCACGAGAAACACAUGGCUUCGAGCUCGCAAUCGAGCAUAACGAUAGCUUCGAAAGGUGUUACAUCUAAAUCAUCGAUGAUCAGUGCAGCUAACGCGGUUAAUCAAUUGAUGAAUGGUAUGAGGCCAGCGGAGGAUGAACUUCUUUCUUUGCCAUUGGACGACUUGGAUUUGCUAUGUUCUAAGUCGAAUCCUCAGGAUGUGGAACGUGCUAUUACCAAGUACUGCAGUUUCUUGGAUAGUUUCGUCGAACGUUUGAAGGCUAACGACGGAAAGAACGCGAAAGCACCGUUAUUGUUGAACAGAGUCAACGAAAUCAUCAGGAAGGCUUGGGCUGUACCUACUCAUGGUCACGAACUUGGUUACACUUUGUGUAACACUCUCAGAACGAGAGGGGGCUUAGAUUUAUUGAUGUCCAAUUGUAUCGCGAGCGAUCAGGAGUUACAAUUUUCUUCGGCGAGGUUAUUGGAACAAUGUUUGACCACCGAAAAUCGUGCACACGUGGUCGAGCAUGGUCUCGAAAAGGUCGUCAACGUGGCUUGCGUUUGCACGAAGAAUGCCAACUCCGUUGAUCAUUCUAGAGUGGGUACUGGGAUCUUGGAACAUUUGUUCAAGCACAGCGAAGGUACGUGUAGCGACGUUAUCAGGCUUGGUGGUUUGGAUGCAGUCUUGUUCGAGUGCAGGAAGAACGACGUGGAAACGUUGAGACAUUGCGCCGGAGCGUUAGCUAAUUUGUCGCUCUAUGGUGGUGCCGAAAAUCAAGAAGCCAUGAUCAAGAGGAAAGUACCUAUGUGGUUGUUCCCUCUUGCUUUCCACAAUGACGACAACAUCAAAUAUUACGCUUGUUUGGCUAUCGCAGUUUUGGUAGCCAAUAAAGAAAUUGAGGCAGCCGUUUUAAAAUCUGGUACUCUUGACUUAGUCGAACCAUUCGUAACAUCGCAUAAUCCUUACGAGUUCGCUAAAUCGAAUUUGGCUCACGCUCAUGGGCAAAGUAAAAACUGGUUGGAGAGAUUAGUACCUGUAUUAAGUUCGAAAAGAGAAGAAGCUAGAAAUCUUGCCGCCUUUCACUUUUGCAUGGAAGCUGGUAUUAAGAAACAGCAAGGCAAUACCGAGAUAUUCCGCGAGAUAGGAGCGAUCGAACCAUUGAAGAAAGUCGCCAGUUGUCCCAAUGCGAUAGCUUCCAAAUAUGCAGCUCAAGCCUUGCGUUUGAUAGGCGAAGAAAUACCGCACAAACUUAGUCAACAGGUACCACUUUGGUCCACGGAAGAUGUGAGAGAAUGGGUCAAACAAAUCGGAUUUGCCGAAUGUGCCAUGAAUUUUGUCGAAAGUAGAGUGGACGGUGAUCUUUUGCUCCAAUUGACAGAGGAGAAUCUCAAAGAAGACAUUGGUUUAACGAAUGGAAUUAGAAGGAGACGUUUCACGCGAGAGCUUCAAAAUCUCAAAAAAAUGGCAGACUAUAGUAGCAGGGAUACCGGAAAUUUAAAUAGUUUCUUACAAUCGAUCGGUCAAGAAUUUUCUAUAUACACUUACAGUAUGCUCAACGCUGGCGUUGACAAAGAUUCGAUCAGGAAUGUGUCGGAGGACCAACUAUUGACCGAGUGUGGUAUCGGGAAUAGCAUACAUCGACUUAGGAUAUUGGAUGCAAUCAAGAACAUGCAACAUAAUCAGUUCAGUUCCUGCGAAGACGAAUCACCGAAUAAAUCUUUAGAUGUGUUCGUUAGUUAUAGAAGAUCUAAUGGAUCUCAAUUAGCUAGCUUACUCAAGGUUCACCUGCAGCUACGCGGAUUUUCAGUCUUUAUCGAUGUCGAAAGGUUAGAGGCUGGUAAAUUCGAUAAUAAUUUACUACAAAGUAUCAGGCAGGCCAAACACUUCCUCCUUGUGCUCACGCCCAAGGCUUUAGAUAGGUGUAUACAGGACGGCGAGUGUAAAGACUGGGUCCAUAGGGAAAUUGUGGCUGCGUUGCAAUCGCAGUGCAACAUUAUUCCCAUAAUAGACAAUUUUCAAUGGCCUGAAGCCGAAGAUCUUCCAGAAGAUAUGCGAGCGGUUUGUCACUUCAAUGGCGUACGUUGGAUUCACGAUUAUCAAGAUGCUUGCGUAGACAAAUUAGAAAGGUUUAUGCGAGGUGAAAUUCCUGUGAGAUCUGAGUUGUCCGGCGGAGGUAUACCUAGAAGUAUAGCAUCUAAAGACGUAACAGCACCUAGUACACCAGGUAGCACAAAUAUGCGACAGGCGCCGAAUUAUCAGCGAAUGCACAGCAAUGAAAGCAGAGGUAGCGACAAAGAUUCAACCGGUGGGCGAGAUUGACUAGAAGGCCCGCCCACAGCUAUUCCAAACAGCCGAGAUUAUGAACCGCGAUAAGACAAUCACGAUUAGAUUUAGAAAAUCGUCGAGUCCGUCCCGUUGGUUAAUGGGUUUACCACCAACGUCA